ACCAACGGGAACAUCGAAGCCGAGCUUUUGUUGAACAAGGCCACGGACGUCGUAAAUGCGUUCGGCAAGGACGUCAGCAGGUAGAUCAUUCCUGUACAAGACUUCAGAGCCAACUGUUAUAGCUCUAACAUGAUCAACACCAUACUGAGGCAAAUACUGCAUAAGAGCUUGCUUUUCCAAAUCGUAAUGAGCGUCGUCAGUGGGCCAAACACCGAGGAUGGCAGAAAAGUUGUAAGGCGACUGAGCAAGUGCGGGUAAUAAGUACUCGAGAGUGUUACAAUCACUAGUGGCAUAGGUACGAAUCAUGUUGGUGUAAGGAGCAAGGACCUCAAAAUCAGCCAAGUAAUCGUCCGUAUACUUGCAGGUGCCAUCAGCAUGCUUCACGCCUAAGCAGAAGCUGAGAGUGCCAUUGGUAGAGGCAGGCUUGGUGGAAGAAGCGAUUUCGGAAGCAGCUUCAUCAACAGCCAUAGCAGAAAGAGGCAACAAAGCCAAAGCGGCAAACACAAAAGACGAAAGGAAUUGCAUUUUUGGUGAUGAAAAAGAAUAAGACAAUUGAGUUAAAAAAUGAAGUAAAAGUAGAAUAAAAAAAAUUUGAUCGAAAACGGUUUAAAAGAUAAAAAAGAAAACUUGAGAUAGAGAAGAAACUUUUAACACCUAUUAAAUUCAGAGACGAAUCCAAAAACUAUAGUAGAAACGUUGAAUUGAGUGGAUUGUUGUUUAAACGAAGAAUGUUUUAAAGCGAGAAAGAAAAGAGUGGAAUGACCCUUUAUGUUGGGAAAAACAAAAGAAAAGAAAAUAAAAUAAAUGCGACUGAAAAAGGAAAAAAA
Schizosaccharomyces pombe (fission yeast) is the source of this 827-nucleotide non-coding RNA. NCBI's taxonomy places the organism in Eukaryota, Fungi, Ascomycota, Schizosaccharomycetes, Schizosaccharomycetales, Schizosaccharomycetaceae. The record is from the annotation of a GenBank genome assembly.